AUGACGGCGCCGGCGGACAAGGGGAAGAAGGCCAAGACCGACACCGACGUCGGCGAGGAGAACGAGCAGAUCGACGGUGCCCUCGUCCUCUCCAUCGAGAGGCUCCAGGAGAUCCAGGACGAGCUCGAGAAGGUUAAUGAAGAAGCAAGUGAUAAGGUUUUGGAGGUUGAGCAGAAGUACAGUGAGAUUCGCAGACCUGUCUAUCUUCGGAGGUGUGACAUCAUCAAAACAAUUCCAGACUUUUGGCUGACAGCGUUUCUAAGUCAUCCUCUUCUCAGUGAGCUUUUGACUGAAGAGGAUCAAAAGAUGUUCAAGUACUUGGAAUCUGUUGAUGUUGAUGAUUCUAAAGAUGUCAAGUCAGGCUACUCCAUCACUCUUAACUUCUCUGAGAAUCCGUACUUUGAAGACAGAAAGCUUACCAAGUCAUAUGCCUUUGCUGAUGAUGGAACAACCACAAUAAAUGCCACUUCCAUUAAGUGGAAGGAGGGAAUGGAAAUUAAUGGGAAUGCCAUUAAGAAGAAAGGAAGCAAGCGCCCAUUGGUUGAAGAAAGUUUCUUCACCUGGUUCACUGAUACAGAGCACAAGAGCCUUGCUGAUGGGGUGCAAGAUGAGGUGGCAGAGAUCAUCAAAGAAGAUUUGUGGCCGAACCCAUUGAAAUAUUUCAACAAUGAGGUUGAAGAGUUUGAAGGAGAUGACGAGGAUGAAGAGGGAUCUGAUGGGGAGGAUGCUGAGGAGGACGACGACGAGGAGAACUGA
This 756-nucleotide ribosomal RNA is filed under the name Triticum aestivum (bread wheat). RNAcentral describes it as "partial small subunit ribosomal RNA". The record is from RNAcentral. Lineage: Eukaryota; Viridiplantae; Streptophyta; Magnoliopsida; Poales; Poaceae.